GACGAACGCUGGCGGCGUGCCUAAUACAUGCAAGUCGAGCGCAGGAAAUCGACGGAACCCUUCGGGGGGAAGUCGACGGAAUGAGCGGCGGACGGGUGAGUAACACGUAAAGAACCUGCCCUCAGGUCUGGGAUAACCACGAGAAAUCGGGGCUAAUACCGGAUGGGUCAUCGGACCGCAUGGUCCGAGGAUGAAAGGCGCUUCGGCGUCGCCUGGGGAUGGCUUUGCGGUGCAUUAGCUAGUUGGUGGGGUAAGGGCCCACCAAGGCGACGAUGCAUAGCCGACCUGAGAGGGUGGUCGGCCACACUGGAACUGAGACACGGCCAAGACUGCUACGGGAGGCAGCAGUAGGGAAUCUUCCACAAUGGACGAAAGUCUGAUGGAGCAACGCCGCGUGAACGAUGAAGGCCUUCGGGUCGUAAAGUUCUGUUGUAAGGGAAGAACAAGUGCCGCAGGCAAUGGCGGCACCUUGACGGUACCCGUAGAAGAAGCCCCGGCUAACUUCGUGCCAGCAGCCGCAGUAA
RNAcentral lists this ribosomal RNA (524 nucleotides) under uncultured bacterium. RNAcentral's name for it is "partial 16S ribosomal RNA". It matches the Rfam family "Bacterial small subunit ribosomal RNA", at positions 28 to 523 of the family's 1533-position model. The record is from RNAcentral.